UGAACGAGAGAGAGAAAGAGAGAAAGAGAGCAGAAGAGACCCGUGUGAGAGAGACGGUUGUGUCUGCUCUCUCUCUCUCUCUCUCUCUGCCGAUGCGC
Molecule: microRNA precursor, 98 nt
Filed under: Drosophila guanche
Lineage: Eukaryota; Metazoa; Arthropoda; Insecta; Diptera; Drosophilidae
Source: RNAcentral